CACUAAAAACAGCAACAACAACCACAAAACAACAAAACAAACAAACAAACAACAAAAAAAAACCUUUCUGACUUAAUGACGUCUGAUAUAAUAGUGCGUAUGGAGCAAAGGCAUGUCAUUCAACUCCUCCACUCCUCCAUGUGGAAAAUUGACACCAAUUGACAUUCAUCGACACUUGCUGAAUGUUUAUGGAGACCAAACAGUGGAUGUGAGCACAGUGAAGUGGUGGGUGCUGUGUUUUCAGCAGUAGCAGCAGCAACAGUAGGUCACCACCACUGAUGUAGAUUGUUAGGAGUGUUGUAUGCAGGCUGUUGUUAAUUCCUGGCAGAAACGUAUAGCUAAUGGCAGCGGCUAUGUUGACAAAUAGUGUUUUGUAGCUGAGAAUUUGCUCUAAGAAAUAGUGUUAUUGUGCUCUUCCUACUUAUUGUAGUUUCCAUUGAAAUAAAUCUUUGAAUCAGAAUUCUUAGAGUUGGAAAGGACCUCUGAAAGCCAUCUAGUCCAACUCCCCUGCAGUGAACACGGACACCACAGCUAGAUCAGGUUGCCCAGGGCCUGAUCCAGCCUUCCCUUGAAAGUCUCCAGGGACUAGGCAUCCAUCACAACACUAGGUACACUGUUCCAGCACCUCACUGCCCUCACUGUAAGAUAAUAAACAGGAGAAAUUACUUUCAGAGUAACCUAUGUACUUCUUUGAUUUUUCUUCUCAUGACUUAAGCUCACUGUCUCCUGCCUCUGAGAGACUUCUGUGUCAGGUAACUGUGUAUGAAGAAAUACUGCAGGAUCUGGAAUUUCCUUGGCUUAUAAACCACCCUACAAACCCAAGGUAUCACAGUUUGCCUUCAGACAAUGACUUUCCUAAGCAUCAGCUUUUGCAUUCAGCUGCAGAUGUAAACCAAAUACUGUGAGGUAAAUUAGAGACCAGAUGGGCUUGCAUUUAUGAAGGAGAUUUUUGGGACUGUUGCUUAGAGCUCUCCUUUUGCCUUUUACAUAUGUGAUUGCUCCAAUUUAAAAUCAAAGUAUUUUUGUUCUUUAAAGCAUAAGAUUUUCUAUUUUCUAUAAGAUACAGAAUAUUUCCAUCUUUUUUUCCUUCUCUUCCUUUCCCUUCCUUUAUUUUCCCUUCCCUUCUUCCUUCUGCCUUCCCUCCCCUCCCCUCCUUUCCCUUUCCCUCCCCUUUCCCUUUUUCCCUUUCUCCCUUUCUCCUUUCCCCUUUCCCCUUCCCCCUUUCCCCUUUUGCUGUCUUUUCAUUUCCUAUCCCUAUUCUCAAAAUCUUAACAAAAAUGUUAAGAUGUUAUUAGUUCUGUUAUUUAUCACUUGCCAGAAAUAUAAAAACACAAAUGCAUGAACAGAAUUUCACAAAUUUACAUUUUCUAAAUUAAUUUUCAUAUUUUAAAAUGUUUUACUAAAUUUAUUUAUUUAUUUAUUUAUUUAUUUGCUUUUCAUUAUGAAAAUAAUUUUUCUUAAUUUAUUUUUUAAUGAAUCUCUGCUUUCAGACCUGACACUUGUAUCAGGAAAAGAUGGGAAAGUUCUAUGUGGAAGUGGAAGAUAUUUCAUAUUUUCAUGAGUACUCAACAUUUUAAAAGGAUAGAAAAAAGAGGCAGCAUCAAAAAAUGCUCACAUCCUCUUUUGGGAACUUAAUCCGUAGAAAUGAAUUACAACAGUCAUAGUUACAUUUUAAUAGUGUCUGUCAACAUAUUUCAGCUAUAAAAAACUAGAUACAAAUCUAUGAAAAUACAAAUUGGAAUAGACUAUCUCCAAAUAUUUUUGGUGGUUUUUUUUUUUGGAUGAUGCAUGUGUCUCCAUUGCCCCUCUCCCAGUGGCUAUCUCAAGAUGUAUAUUGGCUGGGAAGAAAGGAAGAGAUUACAAAAGCAUAUCUCCAAAUUCCAAAAUGAAAAGUCACACUAAAUGCACUGGCGAUAAGGAUUAUGAUUAAAACCUCACAUUUGACCAAUAAGGACAACAUUUUCUCCUAAGGUGAUAUUCAUAACCUUCUGAAGGCUUCUGAAGCCCAGCACAAGAAUUAUAUGCCAUAUGCCUUUUUUUAAUUCCUAAGACAUAAGGAUACUUAGUCUGACCUUGUGAAUGGGGUUGAAUUUCACUCUGUAGUGCAACUUUCUCUAGAGUUAUAUGGGUGAAACAUUUUGAGAAGUAUAUCUAUUUGUAAAUGCUGCAGCUAAAUGAGUUAAAAUGAUAACUGUCACUUAUGACUAAUAAUAAGCUGUGUUUGCCAUGCCUGCUGUUUUACUGAGAUUUCAAUCUUAUACACAAAAGUGACUUGUAUUUUUUAAGUUGAACAAUAAUAAAAAACAAAUUC
This 2311-nucleotide long non-coding RNA is filed under the name Gallus gallus (chicken). Its description in RNAcentral is "lncRNA (ENSGALG00010007734.1)". The record is from RNAcentral. Lineage: Eukaryota; Metazoa; Chordata; Aves; Galliformes; Phasianidae.